UGAAGAUUGUUAACAAAAUUUGUUGUAUCGUAGCGGGCUCGGCGUUCGAUUUGCAGUGUUGUGUAACACACUAUUACUUCUACAGAAUAAUUGUUUAUAUUUGACGAUACAUUGGAAGCGCACUGGUAAUGCCAGCGUUGAAGGCUUGGAGCAGCCUGAGUACGCGACAAUGCAUGCCGAUUUAUUGGGGGGCUAAAAGCUCCCAGAAAAAGCACAUAAUUGUGCCGGCAACUACUGUUAGAAGCUUUCGCUCUCUCUCUCUCUCUGAAGGGAGCCCAUUGAUGAUACAAAACACAAGGUGGCGCAAACUUUUCGAAUUAAGGGAAUUGUUGGAAUGGGUUCCAUUUCGCGCUUUAACAAAUUAAAAAGCAAUCAACUUAAUUCGCUGACGACAAACGUGCCUUUGUCCAGAAUGCGGGCUGGGCUGCGUUUUGCCUGGGAUCCGCGCGUAACAGCCUUCUGCUGGUGUCACACGGGCCACUUGACGGUGCAG
Long non-coding RNA from Drosophila miranda, 493 nucleotides. RefSeq lists it as uncharacterized. NCBI's taxonomy places the organism in Eukaryota, Metazoa, Arthropoda, Insecta, Diptera, Drosophilidae. The transcript is spliced from 3 exons. The record is from RefSeq and is a predicted model, not a curated record.